GAUGAACGCUGGCGGCGUGCCUAAUACAUGCAAGUCGAGCGAACAGACGAGGAGCUUGCUCCUCUAACGUUAGCGGCGGACGGGUGAGUAACACGUGGAUAACCUACCUAUAAGACUGGGAUAACUUCGGGAAACCGGAGCUAAUACCGGAUAAUAUAUUGAACCGCAUGGUUCAAUAGUGAAAGACGGUUUUGCUGUCACUUAUAGAUGGAUCCGCGCCGCAUUAGCUAGUUGGUAAGGUAACAGCUUACCAAGGCAACGAUGCGUAGCCGACCUGAGAGGGUGAUCGGCCACACUGGAACUGAGACACGGUCCAGACUCCUACGGGAGGCAGCAGUAGGGAAUCUUCCGCAAUGGGCGAAAGCCUGACGGAGCAACGCCGCGUGAGUGAUGAAGGUCUUCGGAUCGUAAAACUCUGUUAUUAGGGAAGAACAAAUGUGUAAGUAACUAUGCACGUCUUGACGGUACCUAAUCAGAAAGCCACGGCUAACUACGUGCCAGCAGCCGCGGUAAUACGUAGGGUGCGAGCGUUAUCCGGAAUUAUUGGGCGUAAAGAGCUCGUAGGCGGUUUAUCGCGUCUGUCGUGAAAGUCCGGGGCUUAACCCCGGAUCUGCGGUGGGUACGGGCAGACUAGAGUGCAGUAGGGGAGACUGGAAUUCCUGGUGUAGCGGUGGAAUGCGCAGAUAUCAGGAGGAACACCGAUGGCGAAGGCAGGUCUCUGGGCUGUAACUGACGCUGAGGAGCGAAAGCAUGGGGAGCGAACAGGAUUAGAUACCCUGGUAGUCCAUGCCGUAAACGUUGGGCACUAGGUGUGGGGACCAUUCCACGGUUUCCGCGCCGCAGCUAACGCAUUAAGUGCCCCGCCUGGGGAGUACGGCCGCAAGGCUAAAACCCAAAGGAAUUGACGGGGGCCCGCACAAGCGGCGGAGCAUGCGGAUUAAUUCGAUGCAACGCGAAGAACCUUACCAAGGCUUGACAUGUUCUCGAUCGCCGUAGAGAUACGGUUUCCCCUUUGGGGUGGGUUCACAGGUGGUGCAUGGUUGUCGUCAGCUCGUGUCGUGAGAUGUUGGGUUAAGUCCCGCAACGAGCGCAACCCUCGUUCCAUGUUGCCAGCACGUCGUGGUGGGGACUCAUGGGAGACUGCCGGGGUCAACUCGGAGGAAGGUGAGGACGACGUCGAAUCAUCAUGCCCCUUAUGUCUUGGGCUUCACGCAUGCUACAAUGGCCGGUACAAUGGGUUGCGAUACUGUGAGGUGGAGCUAAUCCCAAAAAGCCGGUCUCAGUUCGGAUUGGGGUCUGCAACUCGACCCCAUGAAGUCGGAGUCGCUAGUAAUCGCAGAUCAGCAACGCUGCGGUGAAUACUAUCGCGGGCCU
This 1374-nucleotide ribosomal RNA is filed under the name uncultured bacterium. RNAcentral's name for it is "partial 16S ribosomal RNA". It matches the Rfam family "Bacterial small subunit ribosomal RNA", at positions 28 to 1381 of the family's 1533-position model. The record is from RNAcentral.